GCCCGUACCGAAAAUGGACACACAUGGGUGAGGAGAGAAUCCUAAGGUGAGCGAGAGAACUAUAGCUAAGGAACUCUGCAAAAUGACUCCGUAACUUAGGGAGAAGGAGUGCUCAUAGAGAUAUGAGCCGCAGUGAAACGGCCCAAGCGACUGUUUACCAAAAACACAGCUCUCUGCUAAGCCGCAAGGCGAAGUAUAGGGGGUGACGCCUGCCCGGUGCUGGAAGGUUAAGGGGAGGGGUUAACGCAAGUGAAGCCCUGAACUGAAGCCCCAGUAAACGGCGGCCGUAACUAUAACGGUCCUAAGGUAGCGAAAUUCCUUGUCAGGUAAGUUCUGACCCGCACGAAAGGCGUAACGAUUUGGGCGCUGUCUCGGCUGUAGACUCGGUGAAGUCUUAGUACCUGUGAAGAUGCAGGUUACCCGCGACUAGACGGAAAGACCCCAUGGAGCUUUACUGUAGCCUGAUAUUGGACUCUGAUGCAUGAUGUACAGGAUAGGUAGGAGGCAAAGAUACGGAUACGCCAGUAUUCGAGGAGCCGACGUUGGGAUACUACCCUUGAUGCAUUGGAGUUCUAACCGGGCCUCAUGGAACUGAGGACGGGACAGUGUCAGGUGGGCAGUUUGACUGGGGCGGUCGCCUCCCAAAGAGUAACGGAGGCGCCCAAAGAUACCCUCAGCAUGGAUGGAAACCAUGCGCAGAGUGCAAAGGCAGAAGGGUGUUUGACUGCGAGACAGACGAGUCGAGCAGGGACGAAAGUCGGGCUUAGUGAUCCGGCGGCACCGCAUGGAAGGGCCGUCGCUCAACGGAUAAAAGCUACCCUGGGGAUAACAGGCUGAUCUCCCCCAAGAGUUCACAUCGACGGGGAGGUUUGGCACCUCGAUGUCGGCUCAUCGCAUCCUGGAGCUGAAGUCGGUUCCAAGGGUUGGGCUGUUCGCCCAUUAAAGCGGUACGCGAGCUGGGUUCAGAACGUCGUGAGACAGUUCGGUCCCUAUCUGUCGUGGGCGCAGGAAGUUUGAGGAGAGCUGCCCUCAGUACGAGAGGACCGGGGUGGACGGACCGAUGGUGCACCAGUUGUCACGCCAGUGGCACAGCUGGGUAGCCAAGUCCGGAAGGGAUAAACGCUGAAGGCAUCUAAGCGUGAAGCCCCCUCCAAGAUGAGACUUCCCAUUCUUCGGAAGGAAGGUCCCUCCAAGACGAGGAGGUAGAUAGGUCAUGGGUGCAAGCAUGGCGACAUGCUGAGCUGAAUGAUACUAAUAGACCGAGAGCUUAGCCAU
Molecule: ribosomal RNA, 1275 nt
Filed under: Ruminococcus sp. A254.MGS-254
Lineage: Bacteria; Bacillati; Bacillota; Clostridia; Eubacteriales; Oscillospiraceae
Description: bacterial LSU rRNA
Rfam family: Bacterial large subunit ribosomal RNA
Source: RNAcentral